UAACAAGGAUUCCCCUAGUAACGGCGAGUGAAGCGGGAAGAGCUCAAAUUUGUAAUCUGGCGGCCUCCGGUCGUCCGAGUUGUAGUCUGGAGAAGCGUCGUCCGCGCCGGACCGUGUACAAGUCCCUUGGAACGGGGCGUCGUGGAGGGUGAGAACCCCGUCUCUGACACGGACUGCCGGUGCCCUGCGAUGCGCUCUCGAAGAGUCGAGUUGUUUGGGAAUGCAGCUCAAAACGGGUGGUAAAUUCCAUCUAAAGCUAAAUACCGGCGGAAGACCGAUAGCGAACAAGUACCGUGAGGGAAAGAUGAAAAGCACUUUGGAAAGAGAGUUAAACAGUACGUGAAAUUGUUGAAAGGGAAACGCUUCAAGUCAGUCGCGUCCGUCGAGGCUCAGCCGGGUUUCCGAACCCGGUGCACUUCUCGGCGUCGACGGGCCAGCAUCGAUUUCGACCGUCGGAGAAAGGCUCUGGGAACGUGGCACCUUCGGGUGUGUUAUAGCCCUCUGUCGUAUGCGACGGUCGGGAUCGAGGACCGCAGCGCGCCCUUCGCCGGGCCGGGGUUCGCCCACGCAACGCGCUUAGGAUGCUGGCGUAAUGGCUUCAAGCGACCCGUCUUGAAAC
Molecule: ribosomal RNA, 619 nt
Filed under: Aroramyces balanosporus
Lineage: Eukaryota; Fungi; Basidiomycota; Agaricomycetes; Hysterangiales; Hysterangiaceae
Description: partial large subunit ribosomal RNA
Rfam family: Eukaryotic large subunit ribosomal RNA
Source: RNAcentral